Molecule: ribosomal RNA, 886 nt
Filed under: uncultured bacterium
Lineage: Bacteria
Description: bacterial SSU rRNA
Rfam family: Bacterial small subunit ribosomal RNA
Source: RNAcentral
AGAGUUUGAUCCUGGCUCAGGAUGAACGCUGGCGGCGUGCCUAAUACAUGCAAGUCGAACGGUCUAGCGCAAGCUAGAUAGUGGCGAACGGGUGAGUAACGCGUUGGUGACCUGCCCCGAAGUGUGGGAUAACAGUCCGAAAGGAUUGCUAAUACCGCAUGUGGUUAUAGGGAUUAGAUGCCUUAUAACUAAAGGAGUAAUUCGCUUCGGGAGGGACCUGCGUCCCAUCAGCUAGUUGGUAGGGUAACGGCCUACCAAGGCAGUGACGGGUAGGGGACCUGAGAGGGUGGCCCCCCACAAUGGAACUGAAACACGGUCCAUACACCUACGGGUGGCAGCAGUAGGGAAUAUUGGUAAUCUGCGAAAGCGGGAACCAGCAACGCCGCGUGUGCGAUAAAGGCCUUCGGGUCGUAAAGCACUUUUCGAGGGGAUGAGGAAGGACAGUACCCUCGGAAUAAGUCUCGGCUAACUACGUGCCAGCAGCCGCGGUAAAACGUAGGAGGCGAGCGUUAUCCGGAUUUACUGGGCGUAAAGCGCGUGCAGGCGGUUCUGUAAGUUGGAUGUGAAAGCUCCUGGCUCAACUAGGAGAGGUCGUUCAAUACUGCAGGACUUGAGGAUGGUAGAGGGAGGUGGAAUUCCGGGUGUAGUGGUGAAAUGCGUAGAUAUCCGGAGGAACACCAGUGGCGAAAGCGGCCUCCUGGACCAUUUCUGACGCUCAGACGCGAAAGCUAGGGGAGUAAACGGGAUUAGAGACCCCGGUAAUCCUAGCUGUAAACUAUGUAGACUUGGCGUCGGUGGGUUUAAAUCCAUCGGUGCCGUAGCUAACGCGAUAAGUCUACCGCCUGGGGACUACGGCCGCAAGGUUAAAACUCAAAGGAAUUGACGG